RNAcentral lists this ribosomal RNA (816 nucleotides) under Triticum aestivum (bread wheat). Its description in RNAcentral is "partial small subunit ribosomal RNA". The record is from RNAcentral. Lineage: Eukaryota; Viridiplantae; Streptophyta; Magnoliopsida; Poales; Poaceae.
AUGGAGGCUUUGGCAAAGUUUACAAGGAACUUGGUUCAACUCCUCGGGUGUUGUGCGGACAGAGAUGAAAAAUUGUUGAUUUAUGAGUAUAUGCCUAACAAGAGCUUGGAUGCUACCCUUUUUGAUGACUCGAGAAAAUUGUUGCUAGAUUGGUCAACACGAUUUAAUAUAGUCAAAGGGAUCACAAGGGGACUUCUUUAUCUCCACCAAGAUUCAAGAUUGACAAUAAUUCACAGAGACCUGAAAGCUGGAAAUGUAUUGCUAGAUGCAGAGAUGAAACCCAAGAUAGCAGAUUUUGGUAUGGCAAGGAUCUUUGGAGAGAACCAACAAAAUGCAAAUACUCAACGUGUUGUCGGGACCUAUGGCUACAUGGCUCCUGAGUAUGCAAUGGAAGGCCUCUUCUCUACCAAGUCUGAUGUAUACAGCUUCGGUGUGUUACUAUUAGAGGUUGUAACUGGUAUUAGAAGAAACUCCAAUAGUCAAACCAUGGGUUUCCCUAGCCUCAUAGUCUAUUCAUGGAAUAUGUGGCAAGAAGGGCGGGCAGACGAGCUGCCAGACUCAUCUAUCAUGGAUACUUGUUCACUAGAUGAAGUUGUGCUUUGCAUCCAUCUAGCACUCUUGUGUGUUGAGGAGAACCCAGAUGACAGGCCACUUAUGUCAUAUGUUGUGUUCGUCCUAGAGAAUGGAAGCACCACACUUCCAGCCCCCAAUCGCCCAGCUUACUUCGCGCGACGACGCAUUGAAAUGGAGCAAAUCAGAGAAGAUAUUCAGACUUCCAGAAACAGUUUUACUCUUACCGAAAUAGAGGGACGUUGA